UACGGGGGGAGCAAGCGUUGUUCGGAUUUACUGGGCGUAAAGGGCGCGUAGGCGGUCAGCACAAGUCAGUUGUGAAAUCUCCGGGCUUAACUCGGAAAGGUCAACUGAUACUGUGCGACUAGAGUGCAGAAGGGGCAACUGGAAUUCUCGGUGUAGCGGUGAAAUGCGUAGAUAUCGAGAGGAACACCGGUGGCGAAGGCGGCAUCCUGGACCAAUUCUGACGCUGAGGAGCGAAAGCCAGGGGAGCAAACGGG
This 254-nucleotide ribosomal RNA is filed under the name uncultured bacterium. RNAcentral's name for it is "partial 16S ribosomal RNA". It matches the Rfam family "Bacterial small subunit ribosomal RNA", at positions 524 to 776 of the family's 1533-position model. The record is from RNAcentral.